GCGAUACCUAGUGUGAAUUGCAGAAUUCCGUGAAUCAUCGAGUUUUUGAACGCAAGUUGCGCCCGAGGCUCGUCUGAGGGCAUGCCUGCCUGAGCGUCCGC
This 101-nucleotide ribosomal RNA is filed under the name Radula acuminata. RNAcentral describes it as "partial 5.8S ribosomal RNA". It matches the Rfam family "5.8S ribosomal RNA", at positions 55 to 154 of the family's 154-position model. Rfam says of the family: 5.8S ribosomal RNA (5.8S rRNA) is a component of the large subunit of the eukaryotic ribosome. It is transcribed by RNA polymerase I as part of the 45S precursor that also contains 18S and 28S rRNA. Functionally, it is thought that 5.8S rRNA may be involved in ribosome translocation. Lineage: Eukaryota; Viridiplantae; Streptophyta; Jungermanniopsida; Radulales; Radulaceae. The record is from RNAcentral.